GUGUCAGCAGCCGCGGUAAAACGUAGGACGCAAGCGUUAUCCGGAUUUAUUGGGCGUAAAGCGCGUCUAGGCGGCGUCUUAAGUUGGGCGUGAAAUCUUCCGGCUCAACCGGAAGGGGCCGUCCAAUACUGGGGCGCUUGAGGGCAGCAGGGGGAGGUGGAAUUCCCGGUGUAGCGGUGGAAUGCGUAGAUAUCGGGAGGAACACCAGUGGCGAAGGCGGCCUCCUGGGCUGUACCUGACGCUGAAGCGCGAAAGCGUGGGGAGCGAACGGGAUUAGAUACCCCGGUAGUCCACGCUGUAAACGAUGGAUACUAGGUGUUGGUGGUAUUGACCCCAUCAGUGCCGCAGCUAACGCGUUAAGUAUCCCGCCUGGGGACUACGGCCGCAAGGCUAAAACUCAAAUGAAUUGACGGGA
RNAcentral lists this ribosomal RNA (415 nucleotides) under uncultured prokaryote. RNAcentral describes it as "bacterial SSU rRNA". It matches the Rfam family "Bacterial small subunit ribosomal RNA", at positions 505 to 918 of the family's 1533-position model. The record is from RNAcentral.